GUAAGGAAUAUUGGUCAAUGGGGGCAACCCUGAACCAGCCAUGCCGCGUGAAGGAUGAAGGCGUUAUGCGUUGUAAACUUCUUUUGUAUGGGAAGAAUGACAGGGAUUUAUCCUUGGAGAGACGGUACCAUACGAAUAAGCACCGGCUAACUCCGUGCCAGCAGCCGCGGUAAUACGGGGGGUGCAAGCGUUAUCCGGAAUCACUGGGUUUAAAGGGUGCGUAGGCGGGAAAUUAAGUCAGUGGUGAAAAGCUGUCGCUUAACGAUAGUCUUGCCGCAGAUACUUCCUUUCUUGGAUGAGGAGGAGGCCACUGGAACGGAUGGUGUAGCGGUGAAAUGCAUAGAUAUCAUCCAGAACACCGAUUGCGAAGGCAGGUGGCUGUACCUUAAUCGACGCUGAUGCACGAAAGCAUGGGGAGCAAACAGGAUUAGAAACCCCUGUAGUCC
RNAcentral lists this ribosomal RNA (446 nucleotides) under uncultured bacterium. Its description in RNAcentral is "partial 16S ribosomal RNA". It matches the Rfam family "Bacterial small subunit ribosomal RNA", at positions 354 to 796 of the family's 1533-position model. The record is from RNAcentral.